RNAcentral lists this ribosomal RNA (459 nucleotides) under uncultured bacterium. RNAcentral's name for it is "partial 16S ribosomal RNA". It matches the Rfam family "Bacterial small subunit ribosomal RNA", at positions 338 to 795 of the family's 1533-position model. The record is from RNAcentral.
CCUACGGGAGGCAGCAGUGAGGAAUAUUGGUCAAUGGCCGUAAGGCUGAACCAGCCAAGUAGCGUGAGGGAUGACGGUCCUAUGGAUUGUAAACCUCUUUUGUCAGGGAGCAAAGGGCGCCACGUGUGGCGCUUUGCGAGUACCUGAAGAAAAAGCAUCGGCUAACUCCGUGCCAGCAGCCGCGGUAAUACGGAGGAUGCGAGCGUUAUCCGGAUUUAUUGGGUUAAAGGGGUGCGCAGGCGGAAUGUCAAGUCAGCGGUAAAAUUUCGGGGCUCAACCCCGUCGUGCCGUUGAAACUGGCGUUCUUGAGUGAGCGAGAAGUAUGCGGAAUGCGUGGUGUAGCGGUGAAAUGCAUAGAUAUCACGCAGAACUCCGAUUGCGAAGGCAGCAUACCGGCGCUCAACUGACGCUCAUGCACGAAAGCGUGGGUAUCGAACAGGAUUAGAUACCCCAGUAGUC